This 613-nucleotide transfer RNA is filed under the name uncultured fungus. Its description in RNAcentral is "sequence contains 18S rRNA gene, ITS1, 5.8S rRNA gene, ITS2, 28S rRNA gene". The stretch from base 237 to 309 matches the Rfam family "tRNA". The record is from RNAcentral. Lineage: Eukaryota; Fungi.
CGGCCACGGCGAUUCCGAUAACGGUGUUGCGGGUGAUGCGCUUGAUCAUGAUGCUUCCAAUCACUCGGGACUGGAGCUUUGUGGAUCGAGACAUCGCUCCUCAUAGCGUCUCGCGCAACAGUGUGCCCGACGCGCUCCACGACACGCCAGAGUCGGCCUCUCGCGGGCUCCGGCGAAGGGCCGUGCUGAUUUGUCCGGAUGCCGAGCGCAUGGCAUAAUCGAACGGUUGCGUAAGCGGCCCCAUCGUAUAGCGGCCUAGUACGCCGCCCUCUCACGGCGGUAACGCGGGUUCGAAUCCCGCUGGGGUCACCAACGGAAAAUGCCCGUCCGAAUGGACGGGCAUUUUGCAUUGCCGCCCCGCGCCCGCCGACGCGACGAGCACAGUGGUGCGAACGGGCGCGGAGUCGCACAAUGGCGGUAUGACCUCGCGGCCACCCGAAGACGAUGUGCUGCAACCGGCCGACGAAUGCACCGACCCCGUCGUGCUGGUCGCGCGGAUCGCAGAGGCGCUGCCGGCGCUCGACGCAGAUGCCCUCGAGCGACUCGCCAGGGCACUCGACGAGCUCAGUGAAGCCGUCGGACUGGCACUCGAUAUCAACUCCGACCUCUCGCC